GCCGGGCAUGGUGGUGCGUGCUUGUAGUCCCAGCUACUCGGGAGGCUGAGGUGGGAGAAUCCCUUGAGCCCAGGAGUUCUGGUCUGCAGUGCGCUUUGCCGAUCAGGUGUCUGCACUAGGUUCGGCAUCAAUAUGGUGACCUCCCGGGAGCAGGGGACCUUCAGGUUGCCUAAGGACGGGUGAACCAACCCAGGUCGGAAACAGAGCUGGUCAAAACUCCCGUGCUGAUCAGUAGUGGGAUCUCGCCUGUGAAUAGCCAUUGCACCUCAGCCUGGGCAACAUAGCGAGACCCUGUCUCU
RNAcentral lists this signal recognition particle RNA (299 nucleotides) under Saimiri boliviensis boliviensis (Bolivian squirrel monkey). RNAcentral's name for it is "Metazoan signal recognition particle RNA (ENSSBOG00000005671.1)". It matches the Rfam family "Metazoan signal recognition particle RNA". From Rfam's summary of the family: The signal recognition particle (SRP) is a universally conserved ribonucleoprotein. It is involved in the co-translational targeting of proteins to membranes. The record is from RNAcentral. Lineage: Eukaryota; Metazoa; Chordata; Mammalia; Primates; Cebidae.